AAAACUUGUGAUGACGUCAUCAUUAAGAAACAUCCGCCGGUGGGUGAAGAGAAGGGAUGACAACUGAUCGGUACUGAUAAGAUAACAACAUUGGAAAUGCAAAGACUCGAUUUGAAAUCUUUGAUUCAGCUGUACCUUCAUCAACACUCAAGACCAAGACCAAGAGUGCAAAUAGUGCAAUGCCCUCGCUUCUUUUUUUUCAACCACAGCGAAUCUGCACGUUAAUCAAUUCAAUUCCGGAAUCAUAUCAACGCAGCCUGAUACGUACCCCUAUCGAUAAAUGUGAAUGGGUAUUUCUAUCAGAAACUUGAAUCGUUCGUGAAAACUUUCAACUCAACUGCGACUGUGAGUGUAUCUGUACAACCGUACCUAUUUCAUUAUUUUUCUCACUAUACAGCUGUACUUACCCUGCGUGUUUGGCUUGGAGAAAAGCGAUGAAGUAUACACCUUAUAUACGACCAACUUGUGGAAACAGAAAGGCAAAAUUUCGCUCUGUUCGAGCACAGGUGUUCUCAAGAAGUGCUGACAAUUUAUAAAGAAGAAAAAGACAUAUUUUUCGGUCUUUAACAACUCUACUUAAUGGUAUGAUACCAGUGAACCGCAUAGGCCUACAAUGAUUUGAAUUUUCGGAUGAUAUUGUUAUGUACGUUCAUUUUUCGUGAACGUAGAACGCAGCAUGGCGAUUUCAUAAAGACUUAUUGAAACAAGAAUGUCAAAAGAAAAAUCCAAACCUAUAAACCGCGCGAAUUCGUACGAAAAUCAAUCAUAUAUGGAAACAUGUCGCAGCUCUUUUCCUACACUUCUCUCUAGAGGAAUGUCAAAAUGAGUAACUUAUCCGAUACCCAAUGAUUUGACGGAGAAAAUCGAACAAACUGUCCUUUUCAAUAGAAUAUCAACUAGCCUAUUUAGUUUUAUAAAAUGAAAAAAAAACCUAGCUGUUAGAAUUCAUCUCACUGUACGUUCACUAUGGCGUUGCCAAGUUUACUAGUAAAUAAUUUUUUUGUAUGAAUGAAAAUGUCACCUGAAUUACAAAUUUAGUUCCGUUAACGUGGGAAGUGUAACCUAGUUAAUACAUUAUUCAGAUAUA
Molecule: long non-coding RNA, 1087 nt
Organism: Planococcus citri (citrus mealybug)
Lineage: Eukaryota; Metazoa; Arthropoda; Insecta; Hemiptera; Pseudococcidae
Exons: 4
Source: RefSeq, a predicted model, not a curated record